AUUGAACGCUGGCGGCAUGCUUUACACAUGCAAGUCGGACGGCAGCACAGAGAAGCUUGCUUCUUGGGUGGCGAGUGGCGAACGGGUGAGUAACGCAUCGGAACGUACCGAGUAAUGGGGGAUAACUGUCCGAAAGGACAGCUAAUACCGCAUACGCCCUGAGGGGGAAAGCGGGGGAUCUUAGGACCUCGCGUUAUUCGAGCGGCCGAUGUCUGAUUAGCUGGUUGGCGGGGUAAAGGCCCACCAAGGCGACGAUCAGUAGCGGGUCUGAGAGGAUGAUCCGCCACACUGGGACUGAGACACGGCCCAGACUCCUACGGGAGGCAGCAGUGGGGAAUUUUGGACAAUGGGCGCAAGCCUGAUCCAGCCAUGCCGCGUGUCUGAAGAAGGCCUUCGGGUUGUAAAGGACUUUUGUCAGGGAAGAAAAGGGGCAUGUUAAUAC
This 442-nucleotide ribosomal RNA is filed under the name Neisseria bacilliformis. RNAcentral describes it as "bacterial SSU rRNA". It matches the Rfam family "Bacterial small subunit ribosomal RNA", at positions 30 to 465 of the family's 1533-position model. The record is from RNAcentral. Lineage: Bacteria; Pseudomonadati; Pseudomonadota; Betaproteobacteria; Neisseriales; Neisseriaceae.